UACAGAGGUCCCAAGCGUUGUUCGGAUUCAUUGGGCGUAAAGGGUGCGUAGGUGGCAUGGUAAGUCGGGUGUGAAAUCCCGGGGCUCAACCCCGGAACUGCACUCGAUACUGCCGUGCUCGAGUACUGGAGAGGAGACUGGAAUUUACGGUGUAGCAGUGAAAUGCGUAGAUAUGCGGAGGAACACCGAUGGCGAAGGCAAUCCCCUGGGCCUGCACUGACGCUCAUGCACGAAAGCGUGGGGAGCAAACAGG
RNAcentral lists this ribosomal RNA (253 nucleotides) under uncultured bacterium. Its description in RNAcentral is "partial 16S ribosomal RNA". It matches the Rfam family "Bacterial small subunit ribosomal RNA", at positions 524 to 776 of the family's 1533-position model. The record is from RNAcentral.